UUGAAGGUGAAGUUGUUUUCCAGUGUGGGGAUUGGUUAGGGAUGCGGAAGUGACUGUGAGGGGGCGGGGAAAUAAACAAGAGCCCUAACGGUGACCAGCGAUGUGUUUUAGAAGUUAAACAAGUUGUUUAAAGUCCGAGUUUCUAUUAGUUAGAUUUGAUUAUUAAAUCUUUUUAUUUUGCCUCGCUGGAUGCGUAUAGUUGUGGACCGCAGAUGCACAGAUGUUGUUUUUAUUUUCAUUGAUCAAAACGGAGAUUCUGUGUGAGCGGGUUCAAGCUAACGGCUAGGCUAACCGCUAAAGCUAACGGCUAAGCUAACGGACGGGCUAGCGUCCUCACGGCCUGAGUGGACUUUUUAGCGGACAGACUGAGGUGUUUCUGGACCAGGAGUUACCUGCCGCCCCUCAGACCUGCGGUUCUUUUACCGGGACCUUGGAUUGUUUGUCGGCGGACCGCUGGCUUUCACACACCGGGCUGUGAACUCCGCUACGGGGAUCCUGUUGGCUGCUAACUGAGACAUUUGCUGACGGUGGAGGAGAUCAACUACUCCGUGGGCUGCUUCCUGUAAAUCACCGUGGGGUUUUCCACUCACGACCAUCUGGAGAUCAACUCACAGGCCUGCAACGUUUUGAGGUCUCCAGUGGAACGGUUCCACGACUACAGUGUCAGUGAUGUGACCUUCAACCCCCAUGGAGCUCCGCCUGCCUCCAGGAAGAAGCUUUUUCAACGUGACGUUCUGAAUAAACCAUCAGCGAUAAUCUCUCAUUUCUCCUCAAGAUAAAAAAACUCCUUGAUUCGUCUUCGGGGCUUUUUAUCGGCGCCGAGAGACAAACAGAAUGUGGAUGUUCAGCAGAAACUCCGUCUGAAUGGUUGUGAUCGUCCUCUGAGGAUGGGAGGUGUAAUCCGUCUGAAGGAGGAGGUUUAGGAGGACGUCAGGUGGCUCAGAUGGAGCUCCAGAUCUGCUGUUUGGCAGAAGAACCGAAGCGUCGGCCGUUUGGAGGUCAAGAGGUUGUUGGGCUGCUGGUUGGAACCAAACAGGAAGCACUCGAACCUCAGCGAGCAGAUUUAUCUCCAGUGCCAAGGCUUUGUCUGUUUCCAACACCAAUGACAAUAUAAACUGGAUAAAUCUGCCUUUCAUCAGGAUGAUCUGGGGCUGACGAAGAAGAAGCUUUUUCUGCUGUUAAAUCUGAAUAAACCCAGAAUAGACAGGAUUUAGUCUGUUAAAAAACGUUACAAGCAGCGAUGCCAGAAAACUUUAAAAACUGUGAAACUUACCGCAAACGUCUGUUAAAUAAAGAGAUUUAUAGCCGAUUUAAAUGCAGUAAAACUGUGUUGAUUUGACAAAUGACACUCAAAUGACAAAUUUUACAAAAUGUAAAGAAUCUGUUCAACAUAUUUCCAACGUCAGACAGAAAAGGAGGCCCACAUACUGUAGAUCUUCUUUCCAGAUGUCUCAAAAUCUGUUCAAAAUCACGUAGAACUGUCUAAAAUGACUCAGUUAUCCAGAAUGACUCUUUUUUCAGCCCAAAAUGACUUUAAACGUGACCAAAAUGAUGCAAAGCCUGUUCAAAGGGACUUAAAAUGAGUCCACAAUUACUUCAGAUUUGUCAUUUUUGUCAAACACCAACCAACACAGACACCAACCUUGUCUAAAAGGACUUGUCUAAAACUGUGACACUUACUGCAAAUGUCUGUUAAAUAAAG
This is a long non-coding RNA of Amphiprion ocellaris (clown anemonefish), 1702 nucleotides long. NCBI's taxonomy places the organism in Eukaryota, Metazoa, Chordata, Actinopteri, Pomacentridae. The record is from Ensembl.